GAAGUAAAAGAGAAUCCAGAAGGGACAGACAACCCAGCUAAAGAAGACAUUCAGUCACCCUCUCAAAAGCGUAAAGAAGCUUCUGGCUCCACUGAAGUUAAGCAAGAGGAGGAAAGUGGCUCAGCUGCAAAAAAACCUAAAAUUGAUCCUAUUGGAGAACCUGGAACUUCUGGGGUAUCCAGCACUAGUAAGACAAGGAAGUUUAAGGAGGGAGUAGUAACUGAUGAUGACCUUCAAACACUUGGCAAAUAUAUUGCUGACAAAUGGGAUGAUCUGGCACGUCGACUUGAAAUUACGAGAGCAGACAUAGCAAUAAUUGAUCACGAUUUUAAGUCUUUGUCUAAGAAGGGAUAUCAAAUACUGCAUCUGUGGAAAUCAAAAAAUGGGGAAGAUGCAGACUAUAAAACUUUGUAUAAUGCAUUAGUCCACAAUUUGGUACAGCGGAGAGACUUAGCAGAAAAAUAUUGUUUUGAAUAAUAAUAUCUCUUUGAUAUUACUCAUAUCAAAACCUGGGAGAACAGACGGCCACUAGGUGGAAAGUAUAGAUAACUUUGCUGGUUACCAAGAAAUUCCAGUUGGCUAUUAAUUUUAAGAAUCUAGUGAUUAUUUUAACCUUGAUUUACGGCCUUUUAUUGAUAGCCUUUUUAAAACAUUUUUGGUGUGUUAAUAAUGGUAAUUGAAAUAAGUGGAGUGGAAUUUUGGCUGCAAUCAUAUGCAUGAUUUCAAAAUCGAACGAAUGUGAGUUCAAUUUGAAUCAAAAGUAUGAUUUCAGACCAAAAUUGCACGACAUGAGGUUCAAUUACCACUUUAUUACAUCCAUUUUAAAAUCGCCCAAAAACUGGACUUGGUCAGUUCUUAUAUUUUAUUGAUGCAGUACUGAGCUGAUUUGAAAUUAAAUUCAUCCAUUUUCUGGGGGGAAAAAUAAGAGUUUUGGAAAGUUUUGUUUUUGGUGUGACCUGCUCAUUGGCUGGGAAAAGAUGCGAUUUAAAGCAAAAAAUGGUGCAAUUUGUGAAUAAAUUGUACCAAUUAGAGCCAAUCAGAUUACAAAGAACACUAGUGAUUUCAAAACGGGUGUAAUAAAGCUGAAUAUUGCACACGCAUUUGAUUAGAUCUAUCGGAGGACAGACUCAUAUAUAAGGUAGAGUAUUUCAGAUAAACUAAGCAGUCUAAGUUUUUUAAUGUAGGCCACUAUAUAUAGUUUUUAAAAAUAAAAACAGAACUGCUUGUUUGGAGCAUUUUGGCUAGUGAUUAAGUUAGCGUUUUUGGAUCCGCGUUUUUCAUGAUUGAGGAACGCAACACAUGCAGUCGUUCGUCAUUGGUAAUCACAGCCUUAAUUUGUUUCAGUACAAAUCGGGCAUGACAAUAAUGUUAUUUUCCAUGGUAGUAUUAUAGUUAACAAGUGUUUGCUUAGCAGCUUUCCUGUAUGAAAUGUAAUGGAAUAUUUACCCGGUUAUG
This is a non-coding RNA of Pocillopora verrucosa, 1455 nucleotides long. Lineage: Eukaryota; Metazoa; Cnidaria; Anthozoa; Scleractinia; Pocilloporidae. The record is from RefSeq and is a predicted model, not a curated record.